CCUACGGGAGGCUGCAGUAGGGAAUUUUCGUCAAUGGGCGCAAGCCUGAACGAGCAAUGCCGCGUGAACGAGGAAGGUCUUCGGAUCGUAAAGUUCUGUUGAAGGGGAAAAAGAGCGGAGAGAGGAAAUGGUCUCCGAUUGAUAUUACCCUUCGAGGAAGUCACGGCUAACUACGUGCCAGCAGCCGCGGUAAUACGGGGGUGGCGAGCGUUAUCCGGAAUGAUUGGGCGUAAAGGGUGCGUAGGCGGCCUGCUAAGUCUGGAGUGAAAGGUACCGGCUCAACCGGUACAGGCUCUGGAAACUGGCGGGCUAGAGAGCAGGAGAGGGCGGUGGAACUCCAUGUGUAGCGGUAAAAUGCGUAGAUAUAUGGAAGAACACCAGUGGCGAAGGCGGCCUCCUGGCCUGUUACUGACGCUGAGGCACGAAAGCGUGGGGAGCAAAUAGGAUUAGAUACCCCAGUAGUC
This 464-nucleotide ribosomal RNA is filed under the name uncultured bacterium. RNAcentral's name for it is "partial 16S ribosomal RNA". It matches the Rfam family "Bacterial small subunit ribosomal RNA", at positions 338 to 795 of the family's 1533-position model. The record is from RNAcentral.